Molecule: RNA transcript, 4454 nt
Organism: Mus musculus (house mouse)
Lineage: Eukaryota; Metazoa; Chordata; Mammalia; Rodentia; Muridae
Gene: Haao
Gene name: 3-hydroxyanthranilate 3,4-dioxygenase
Exons: 9
Source: RefSeq, marked provisional
UCUCCAUCUACUGUGUGAGAGAAGAAUAGAUAAAAAGGAAAGAAAAGUUAAAACCAAACAGAACACACCUGAAAAGAAAGAAAGGAAAGGAAGAAACCAAAAUUCCUUCUUAGCAGCUGGUCUGAAGUCGGGGACAGUCUCAUGGGACUGAGUUCUCAUCCUGUGGGGUCUAAUGCUAUAGCCAUGCAGAAGGGUCAGAAUGACGAUGUCCCCCGCCGCCCCCACCCCACCCCAGGCACUGCUGUAGUCUGAUUGCCUGUGUGCUAGUGGGAGAAAUACCCCCCACACUUAGGAUUACAGAACUGGACUGUGCUGUGAGAGUACUGUAGAAGACUGUGGGCGUGGCCUGUGUCCCUCCCCCCACCCCCAACCCACUCCCAUUCACCAGUAGAGCCCAUGAAGCAUUUCUUUUAUUCAUAGAAAUCUAUUUGUUCUUAAAUACUUAAUGAAUGUAUGAAAGGAGGUAGAGAGAGAGAGAGGGAGGGAGACCGACAGACGGACAGACCAACAGGUCUGAGCUGCUGACACACUAGCUCAAUCUAUUGAGGGACUAAGGGAUCAGCUUGUUAUCAACAGCCAUGUUCAGCCAAACUUAGAGGCAUCUAAAGGUCUUCAUGCACCGCCCAAUCCAGGGGGGUAGAGCAGGACCGCACCAGCAGUGGGAAGGCCUUGAUGGGAUCGGAGCCCUGAGUAGAUGCUGUUUUCCUCUGAUUCCAUGGCACAAAUAAGCUCCUGUAUACGGAGGAAAGAGGUGGCACCUGGGAGCAGCCUGAUGUUUGAUCUUGAUUAUUAACUUGAUGGGAUUUACAAUCACCAUGGAAACGAGCUUCCUGACACAUCUGUGAGGGAGUUGCUAGUUAAUUGAGCUGGGGAGGCCCACACUAACUGUGGGUGGCGAUAGUCUGUGAGCUGCCUGCCUUUCAGGCUGAGUAAGAAGGCGACUGGGAGCUGAACAUCAGCACUGGUCAGCAUCCAGCUUGCCUCCUGCCCGUUGAUACCAUACAAUGGGCUGCCUCAAACUCCCGUCGCCAUGACUUCCCCCUCAAACUGGGAGCCAAAAUUAACCCCUUUUUGUUCCAGCAAUAGGCAAAGCAGCUAAAUACAAACAGGUACAGUCUGGAAGGACCAAGGAUCAAUAUCUGGAAGGCCCCAGUCAAUCGGGGACUGAUCAAUGGCAGAACACAUGGGUAAGAGGGGAACUGUAUUUUCUUAACACUGAAGUCAUCUGAAUAAUGAGGCUUGCCCGUGGUACCCUAGAACAGUGUUUUAUCACAUAGUCCAAAGUAGAGGGCAUCUCUCACAGUGAUUAUACAAAUAUAUCUUAGUUUGAAUCUAGAGUGUUCAUGUCCUCAAAUUCUAUGUACAGCCUCACGUCGUUUGAUUGCAUCAAUUAAAAUACAGGGUAACUACCACUCUGUCCUCUGUAGGAAGUGUCAGAACAUCUGCUGGUUUGCAAGCAGCCCCUCCCCUUGGUGUGACUUCGAUUGCCUUCUCCUUACCUUCUUAACUCCUCCCCCUUCCUCCCCAUUUAACAGCACCUGAAACAAGCCUGACACAUAGGUCAUAGGUCCCUGCAUUGCCUGGGUUUUGUUUACACCCAUUUGACUACGGGGAGAUGGGAAACAUAAAGAAGGUUUGAGUUAUUUAGGUACCAAACAAUGUUCUGGAAGGAAAUGCUUCAAUAAAUACUUAGCUGAAACAUGCCAAGUGAAUAAUCAAAAAGAUAAAGCUGUAGAAAGGGGCAAGGGUGGUGGAGAGGACACAAGAAGGCCCCUGCCAGGUGCGUGAGAUGCUUGCUGAGAGCCUGUCCAAGUUUGGCUUACACCAGCAGAGCUUUUAAUUCUGAGAAGAAGAGACUCUGUCAGGCUGCAGACAAGCGAGGGUGGCCAUGAGAGCCACGAGGGAGCCACUAGGAAUUCUUCUAUUCUGUAGUCUGUAUUCUGGGCUCAAAGGCCUGAGACCAUUUCUUCUCCCUCGCACUGACUUCUGUAGUUCACUCCCUUUCAGUUCUCCCAAGAAUUGUGAGUCCUGGAGGGUAGGUGGUCCUUGCCUUCCCCUCUUCCUCCUACGUUUCCUGCCCCAGGGCAACCUUGGCUGAGGAGCCUCUAGUCUGGCAGGCUCUGGGGUGGGUUUGAAUGUGCUUGGCCUGGGGAGUGGCACUAUUAGGAGGUGUGGCCUUGUUGGAGGAAGUGUGUCAGUGGGGUUGGGGAGGACUUUGAGGCCCUCCUCCUAACUGCCUAGAAGACAGACUGCUCCUGUCUUCUUUUAGAACAAGCUGUAGACCUCUCAGCUCCUUCUCCAGCACCAUGCCUGCCUGGGAUGCUGCCAUGCUUCCCGCCAUGAUGAUAAUGGACUGAACCUCUGAACCUGUAAGCCAGCCCCAGUUAAACUUUGUCCUUUAUAAGAGGUCUUGGUGUCUCUUCACAGCAAUAAAACCCUAAAUAAGACAGACACCUAGGACCAUCUUCACCUGUAAAGGUCUUCACAUGUGGGUGGCUUAAAACAUGCAAGGGUGGGGAUUGUAGGUUUAUGGUGACAUCCAUCUGUAAUCCUAGUACUGAGGUAGAAGGAUAGAGUUUGAGGCUAGCCUGAGCUACAUAGCAACCUGCCCAACAUUCUGGGUCACAAAGUGAUUUCUUGUCUCAAAAACAAAAACCAAAUAAUAAAAUAUAAACAAGACGUGUGAGGGGACAGGGACAUUCUGAAGCUCCAUGGCAGAGUUUGCCUAGCACACUAAAGACUCUGGUUCAAUUCCCCAUGGAGGGGUAAAGAGCUCACUCAGACCAGUGCUGGACACCUCAUUCCUGCCCACUACUACUAGGCGCCAGGGCUGCCGAGCUGGACCAGGCCUCAGCUGCAAAGCAAGGUGAGGACAGGGUAUCUCAGGUCUAGCCAAUCACAUCUGCAGGACUGGGCCAGACCUCCGUGCUCCGGAGGAGACUGGAUGCAGCCUGUUCAUUGCCUCCUGUGAUGGCCUCUGUGUGCUCCUGUUGCCUUCAGUCCUCCUUGUGCUCAAAGUCUCCGAUUUUCAAACCUUUAUUCUCCCAACACAAUGUUUCUUUAGAGGCAGGGCAGAAGAAGAAACCCGAAAAGCUGAAAGCCCAGCGUCCUGCAUCUUACAUGGGCCCAGUAGGUACCAGAGUCCAGCUUCGGUCCAGAGCAACUAGGUGUUGGGAGGAUGCUGGCCAUGUCCCAGGAGGCGGGUCUGUUCUUGGGCUUUGAUCCCUGCUCCGGCGUGUGUGCAGGGGCAGGGCAAGUAGUCUCAGACUCUAGAGCUGCCCCCUCAGAGUGGCAGGGGAUUGCUCAGCUCUUUGACCUCUGGUAACCUAAUUAACUAGGUGGCCAACAGGAGACUGCGCAGAUCGCAGGUCGCAGAUCGCAUCACUCCAACCUCCCGAUUACCUGGCCACCACGUUGUGGGCAGAAGAGUCCUGCCUGCCGGCCAUGGAACGCCGUGUGAGAGUGAAGUCUUGGGUAGAAGAGAAUCGGGCCUCCUUUCAGCCUCCGGUUUGCAACAAGCUUAUGCACCAGGAGCAGCUCAAAAUCAUGUUCGUUGGAGGCCCCAAUACCAGGAAGGAUUAUCACAUUGAAGAGGGUGAGGAGGUGUUUUACCAGCUGGAGGGAGACAUGAUACUACGAGUCCUGGAGCAGGGGCAACACCGGGACGUGCCUAUACGGCAGGGAGAGAUAUUCCUCCUGCCUGCCAGGGUGCCCCACUCCCCGCAGAGGUUUGCCAACACCAUGGGGCUGGUGAUUGAGAGAAGGCGGCUGGAGAGCGAGCUGGAUGGGCUGAGGUAUUACGUGGGGGACACUGAGGAUGUCCUCUUCGAGAAAUGGUUCCACUGUAAGGACCUUGGCACGCAGUUAGCACCCAUCAUCCAAGAGUUCUUCCACUCUGAGCAAUACCGAACAGGAAAACCCAACCCUGGUCAUUGCCCACGGACAAGGUAGCAGCAAAGGCCCAAGGCAGGAUGUGGAUGUGUGGCUGUGGCAACAGGAGGGCUCCUCUAAGGUGACAAUGGGAGGGCAGUGUAUAGCCCUGGCCCCAGAUGACAGCCUGCUGGUGCCUGCUGGAACCUCGUAUGUGUGGGAGCGAGCACAAGGCUCUGUGGCCUUGUCUGUGACACAAGACCCUGCCCGUAAGAAGCCAUGGUGGUGACCCUCCUGUGUGCGCCCCAAGCAGCCACAGGGUGCCUGAGUAAUGACCUGGUAGCUGCCCAUUUCCAGACAGCUCUUUCAGCCUCAUUGCAUCUCCAUGGACAUCAGCAGGCCCCUUGAGUGGUUGAGAGCUGUCACUGGCAUCAACCCUCCUGCCUAGCUCAGCCCAGGAUGCCAGACUCCUAGGACAUCAGCAGUCCCCGAUCUUCUAACAGCCAUAGCCCUACACUGUCCCCAUGUGCCCAGCAGCCUGACACUAAGAAAUCUCUCAAUAAAGGCAUCCUGCUGAAUGAGUA